GACUACGUAGCUCAGUUGACAGAGCAUUGGGCUAGUAUUCCAAAAGUCGUAGGUUCGAUUCCCACCGUGGCCA
RNAcentral lists this transfer RNA (73 nucleotides) under Paramuricea clavata. It matches the Rfam family "tRNA". Rfam says of the family: Transfer RNA (tRNA) molecules are approximately 80 nucleotides in length. Their secondary structure includes four short double-helical elements and three loops (D, anti-codon, and T loops). Lineage: Eukaryota; Metazoa; Cnidaria; Anthozoa; Malacalcyonacea; Plexauridae. The record is from Rfam by way of RNAcentral.